UACGACCACAUCCGGUUUAAACACCGGUUUCCGUACGAUCACCGAAGCUAAGCAACGUCGAACCUGGUCAGUACGUAGAUGCGUGCCCGCUUGGGAAUACUAAAUGAUGUAA
Molecule: non-coding RNA, 112 nt
Organism: Acanthosepion pharaonis
Lineage: Eukaryota; Metazoa; Mollusca; Cephalopoda; Sepiida; Sepiidae
Source: the annotation of a GenBank genome assembly